RNAcentral lists this ribosomal RNA (497 nucleotides) under uncultured bacterium. Its description in RNAcentral is "partial 16S ribosomal RNA". It matches the Rfam family "Bacterial small subunit ribosomal RNA", at positions 28 to 507 of the family's 1533-position model. The record is from RNAcentral.
GAUGAACGCUGGCGGCGUGCCUAAUACAUGCAAGUCGAGCGAACAGACGAGGAGCUUGCUCCUCUGACGUUAGCGGCGGACGGGUGAGUAACACGUGGAUAACCUACCUAUAAGACUGGUAUCACUUCGGGAAACCGGAGCUAAUACCGGAUAAUAUAUUGCACCGCAUGGUUCAAUAGUGAAAGACGGUUUUGCUGUCACUUAUAGAUGGAUCCGCGCCGCAUUAGCUAGUUGGUAAGGUAACGGCUUACCAAGGCAACGAUGCGUAGCCGACCUGAGAGGGUGAUCGGCCACACUGGAACUGAGACACGGUCCAGACGCCUACGGGAGGCAGCAGUAGGGAAUCUUCCGCAAUGGGCGAAAGCCUGACGGAGCAACGCCGCGUGAGUGAUGAAGGUCUUCGGAUCGUAAAACUCUGUUAUUAGGGAAGAACAAAUGUGUAAGUAACUAUGCACGUCUUGACGGUACCUAAUCAGAAAGCCACGGCUAACUACGUG